CCCCUAGAUGUUCUGGGCCGCACGCGCGCUACACUGAACAGUUCAACAAGUCUUAACCUUGGCCGAUAGGUCUGGGUAAUCUUUGAACGCUGUUCGUGAUUGGGAUAGACCUUUGCAAUUAUGGGUCUUCAACGAGGAAUUCCUAGUAUACGCAAGUCAUCAGCUUGCAUUGAUUACGUCCCUGCCCUUUGUACACACCGCCCGUCGCACCUACCGAUUGAAUGGUCCGGUGAAAUCUCGGGACGGCGGCUUGGUCGCUUGCGUCCGACUGCUGAAACUUGAUUAAACCAUNUNAUUUAGNGGAAGGUGAANUCGUANCA
RNAcentral lists this ribosomal RNA (320 nucleotides) under uncultured eukaryote. RNAcentral's name for it is "partial 18S ribosomal RNA". It matches the Rfam family "Eukaryotic small subunit ribosomal RNA", at positions 1470 to 1796 of the family's 1831-position model. The record is from RNAcentral.